GUUGAGAGGAAUAUUGUCUGGCUCGAGGUCAUCGACGAGUAUAUUGAAGAAAUCUUUCGGUAUUUAAUGGAAAUUUAUUAUACCCUCUGACCCUAAAUGAUUCUCGGACCAGGCUUUAUUCCUUCCAGC
This is a microRNA precursor of Lupinus angustifolius (narrow-leaved blue lupine), 129 nucleotides long. It matches the Rfam family "mir-166 microRNA precursor family". From Rfam's summary of the family: This family represents the plant microRNA (miRNA) precursor mir-166. Animal miRNAs are transcribed as ~70nt precursors and subsequently processed by the Dicer enzyme to give a ~22nt product. NCBI's taxonomy places the organism in Eukaryota, Viridiplantae, Streptophyta, Magnoliopsida, Fabales, Fabaceae. The record is from Rfam.